This is a non-coding RNA of Piliocolobus tephrosceles (Ugandan red Colobus), 691 nucleotides long. The record is from the annotation of a RefSeq genome assembly. Lineage: Eukaryota; Metazoa; Chordata; Mammalia; Primates; Cercopithecidae.
AGCCCAGCUGUGCUGCAGGCUCAGGAGGCAGAGCUCUGGGUGUCUCACCAUGGCCUGGACCACACUCCUGCUCCCACUCCUCACCCUCUACACAGGCUCUGUUGCCUCCUAUGAGCUGACACAGCCACCCUCGGUGUCAGUGUCCCCAGGACAGACAGCCAGGAUCACCUGCUCUGGAGAUGUACUGAAGGAAAAUUAUGCUGACUGGUACCAGCAGAAGCCCGGCCAGGCCCCUGUGCUGGUGAUAUAUGAAGAUAGUAAGCGACCCUCUGGAAUCCCUGAGCGAUUCUCUGGGUCCACCUCAGGGGACACAAACACCCUGACCAUCAGCAGCAGCCUGAGUGAAGACGAGGCUGACUAUUACUGUUUUUCUGGGAAUGAGAACAAUCCCACAGUGACACAGGCAGAUGGAGAAGCAGAAUACUCAAACUUCGUGUUCAUAUUUGAUGGUCAGGUGUCUCCAGCCAGCAUUUCUAAACCAGGAUCCUUUGUCAAGUCUUGUGAAGAGUUUUGUAAAAAGAGUCACCACCAACCCACGCUGGCCCUAUAUUUGUAUCCAGAACCUGUCAAAGCCACUCGUGAGUCCUGCAUCCCUCAGUACCAAGGCCCAAUCCCCCUUCAGGACCACCCACCACCCAGAGAGACGUGCAAGGAGCCUGAGAAAGAACCUGAAACCUCCACUACUACAUAA